Molecule: ribosomal RNA, 492 nt
Filed under: uncultured bacterium
Lineage: Bacteria
Description: partial 16S ribosomal RNA
Rfam family: Bacterial small subunit ribosomal RNA
Source: RNAcentral
AGUGAACGCUGGCGGUAGGCCUAACACAUGCAAGUCGAACGGCAGCACAGUAAUAGCUUGCUCUUACGGGUGGCGAGUGGCGGACGGGUGAGGAAUACAUCGUAAUCUACUUUUUCGUGGGGGAUAACGUAGGGAAACUUACUCUAAUACCGCAUACGACCUACGGGUGAAAGCAGGGGAUCUUCGGACCUUGCGCGAUUGAAUGAGCCGAUGUCGGAUUAGCUAGUUGGCGGGUGAAUGGCCCACCAAGGGGCCGAUCCGUAGCUCGUCUGAGAGGAUGAUAAGCCACACUGGAACUGAGCCACGGUCAAGACUCCUACGGGAGGCAGCAGUGGGGAAUAUUGGACAAUGGGCGCAAGCCUGAUCCAGCCAUACCGAGUGGGUGAAGAAGGCCUUCGGGUUGUAAAGCCCUUUUGUUGGGAAAGAAAAGCAGCAGGUUAAUACCACGCUGUUCUGACGGUACCCAAAGAAUAAGCACCGGCUAACUUCGUG